AUACGUAGGGGGCAAGCGUUAUCCGGAUUUACUGGGUGUAAAGGGAGCGUAGACGGCUGUGCAAGUCUGAUGUGAAAGCCCGGGGCUCAACCCCGGUACUGCAUUGGAAACUGUACGGCUCGAGUGCAGGAGAGGUAAGUGGAAUUCCUAGUGUAGCGGUGAAAUGCGUAGAUAUUAGGAGGAACACCAGUGGCGAAGGCGGCUUACUGGACUGUAACUGACGUUGAGGCUCGAAAGCGUGGGGAGC
This 247-nucleotide ribosomal RNA is filed under the name uncultured bacterium. Its description in RNAcentral is "partial 16S ribosomal RNA". It matches the Rfam family "Bacterial small subunit ribosomal RNA", at positions 523 to 769 of the family's 1533-position model. The record is from RNAcentral.